Molecule: small nuclear RNA, 103 nt
Filed under: Vombatus ursinus (common wombat)
Lineage: Eukaryota; Metazoa; Chordata; Mammalia; Diprotodontia; Vombatidae
Source: RNAcentral
UUGCUUCAGCAGCACAUAUACUAAAAUUGGAACGAUAUAGAGAAGAUUAGCAUGGCCCAUGCACAAGCAUGACAUGCAAAUUCAAGAAGUAUUCCAUAUUUUU